This 482-nucleotide ribosomal RNA is filed under the name uncultured bacterium. Its description in RNAcentral is "partial 16S ribosomal RNA". It matches the Rfam family "Bacterial small subunit ribosomal RNA", at positions 30 to 507 of the family's 1533-position model. The record is from RNAcentral.
AUUGAACGCUGGCGGCAUGCUUUACACAUGCAAGUCGAACGGUAACAGGCCGCAAGGUGCUGACGAGUGGCGAACGGGUGAGUAAUGCAUCGGAACGUGCCCAGCCGUGGGGGAUAACUACUCGAAAGAGUAGCUAAUACCGCAUACGAUCUAUGGAUGAAAGCGGGGGACCGUAAGGCCUCGCGCGAUUGGAGCGGCCGAUGUCAGAUUAGGUAGUUGGUGGGGUAAAGGCUCACCAAGCCAACGAUCUGUAGCUGGUCUGAGAGGACGACCAGCCACACUGGGACUGAGACACGGCCCAGACUCCUACGGGAGGCAGCAGUGGGGAAUUUUGGACAAUGGGCGCAAGCCUGAUCCAGCAAUGCCGCGUGCAGGAAGAAGGCCUUCGGGUUGUAAACUGCUUUUGUACGGAACGAAACGGCUCUGGUUAAUACCCGGGGCUAAUGACGGUACCGUAAGAAUAAGCACCGGCUAACUGCGUG